This 656-nucleotide ribosomal RNA is filed under the name Pomphorhynchus sp. n. MMM-2019. RNAcentral's name for it is "SSU rRNA". It matches the Rfam family "Eukaryotic small subunit ribosomal RNA", at positions 1129 to 1811 of the family's 1831-position model. Lineage: Eukaryota; Metazoa; Acanthocephala; Palaeacanthocephala; Echinorhynchida; Pomphorhynchidae. The record is from RNAcentral.
UUGCAAAAUCGAAACUUAAAGGAAUUGACGGAGGGGCACACCAGAAGUGGAGCCUGCGGCUUAAUUUGACUCAACGCGCGAAAGCUUACUCGGUCCGAACACCGUGAGGAUUGACAGGUUGAAAGCUCUUUCUUGAUCCGGUGGGUAGCGGUGCAUGGCCGUUCGUAGUUGGUGAAGUGAUUUGUCUGGUUUAUUCCGAUAACGAACGAGACUCUAGCCUACUAAUUAGCGUAGCGAUUGUUCGUCGUUACAAUGCUUCUUAGAGGGACAGGUGUUGCUUAAGCACACGAAGUAGAGCAAUAACAGGUCUGUGAUGCCCUCAGACGUUCGAGGCUGCACGCGCGCUACAAUGGAGGGCACAAAGCGCACUAUGCAUGUCGGAAGAUAUGCGGAAUCGUAAAUAGCCUUCAUGACUGGGAUCGGAGAUUGAAAUUAUUCUUCGUGAACGAGGAAUUCCUAGUAAGCGCGAGUCAUUAUCUCGCGUUGAUUAAGUCCCUGCCCUUUGUACACACCGCCCGUCGCUACUACCGAUUGAAUGAUUUGGUGAGGUCUGUGGAUAGGUGUCACCGGGCUAACAACCCUGUUGAUCUACCUAGAAGCUGCCCAAGCUUGAGCGUUUAGAGGAAGUAAAAGUCGUAACAAGGUUUCUGUAGGUG